This is a long non-coding RNA of Poecile atricapillus (Black-capped chickadee), 4606 nucleotides long. RefSeq lists it as uncharacterized. The transcript has 3 exons. Lineage: Eukaryota; Metazoa; Chordata; Aves; Passeriformes; Paridae. The record is from RefSeq and is a predicted model, not a curated record.
CAGAGCAAAACACUUCUGCUGCUUAAAGUCAGAUCUACGUUUUUUGCAAUAAUACUUAAAAAAAAAAAAAAAAAGGAUAAAUAAUUGCCUUAAAGCCUCAGCCGAACUGCCAACCACACCUUCGGAUGUUAGAAGGCAGAAAUAUGUGAACUGCUGAGAGAGGGCCUGCCUCAGCGAUGCCAUAAAUAGAGAUUGAGCUAUCAGGAGGAAAAAAAAAAAAAAAGGAGAAAGAAUAAAAUAAAAGCAAAACCCUGGACAGGAAUAGAGACAGACAGAUAAAUGUAUAACUGCAUCUGAACAAUGUUACGUGGCACAUUAGGAGUUGGUAAAAAAAUUUAAAUCUAUCGCAUAUUUAUAACCUCAUAAUUAAAAUACGUUCUUAUCUCUCUCCUCUGAAAGGUUGCAGCUUUCUUGGAAGUAUUUUGAGUGCAUAUUUUAAACUCUAUGUCUUGAAUUGAAUUAAGAUGAGCUGUUUUGCCCAAGAGUAGAGCCCUUGUUUACAAUUUAAUAUUUAACUUUCAGCUGCCUACCCAUCGCCAUAUCAUUUUCUUUAGAUUUCACCUCCUUACAUUUGCAGGCUUUAUUUAAAAUGAUGUCAGAUUAUAUCAAAUCCUAAUUUCUUAUCAUAAGAAAUGAGUCAGUAUAAUCCAAAACAGUCCCCCUGGUGUGAUCGAGGUAAAUUGGAUGAGGAUCUUUCACAUUCAAAGGGUUAAAGCUAAACCGAAAACUUUAAAGCAAAGAGAUACCAGCAAACAGUGAAAAAUGGUACAUCUGCUCCUUCUUGACAAGCUUGCAUUAUAUCACAUGUAAGGAAGCCCAAAUUUUUGAAUCUAAGACCAGUUUUAGUUUUUAAUAGGAAAUAAUUACAUGGAACUUUAUUUCCAGAGAGAAUGUCCCUUCCAGCUACAGUGUUUUGCUUUGAUCUAAGUAUUAACUGGUAAUAAAAUAACCAUAUUUUGGAUCCUAAGCAUAUUGAUGCUUAGAGGAAUGUUAUGCUUUCAAUCAAAUUUUAACUUUAGAUUAUCCAAAGGUAUUCAUCCUUCUUUUGUCAGAAACCAAUUUGCUCUCCUGCUCCUACAGCUACUCACAUGUGGUUUGGUAUACUUUGUUAUUUUAUAGUGGAAUUUGCACCAGCGAGGUGGAAAACUUUUGGAUGGAAUGAGAUCAUGUUCCAGCCUGGAAAUUUGGGCUGUUUCUCACACAGGUCCCCAGUCCAGCCCUUCUUUACACUUGUUGUGCACCACGACCAUCGCUCACCUCCGAGGGCGACCACCGAGACAGGAUUUUGUUUUAAAUAUUCAGAUUUUUCAUUUAAUUUUUUUUUUUUUUAACAUGGAGAAUCAAUCAUUUGGACCCAUCCUGAACAAUUAACCUCCCCUUUAUAUUACAGCCCCAAGUGCAGUACUUUAUAAAGACAUGAAAAGGACAUCCCAGUCAGCAGGACCUGAGCCCAGGCUUGUCACAGAGUAUAAAAGGAGAGAGAAGGGGAGUUUUUAUCUCUUUGCCCCACCAAUUCUUAAUAGUUCUAAGUUUCAGUGUGACAAUAAAACAGUUUUGAUAACAUAGCUCAUGGGUUUCUCUGCCACAUAAAGUUUUCUUAAUAAUAAAAAAGAAGAAACUUUAUCCCUGCUAAAUUAAAAUAGGGCAGAUGUUGGAUAUGGUUCAUAUUAGCCAGCCUUUCACCCCUUUGCCCCUGGCACUAAAGUUCUGACUUUUUCUUUCUACUAUGUCUGUUUCUAACUGAAAGGUAUUAUUCCUGCCCUGGCUCUCUUCUUCUAUUUAUUUUUUCAGUGUCUAAAAUUAAACCUAUUCAUUUAGUAAUAUACAUUCUAUUUCACAUUGCUAAACCUGGCCAGAGAGGGGAAACAUUUUCCAAAAAAGUGAUGCACCACUGACCUUAAAAGAAAACAUGAAGCAGGGAAAGCUGUUCUUAAAAGGUUUAUUUCUAGAGAAUUUUGUGGCUCUGUUGACAUUAUAGGGAUAAUGGCUGUAUUGCAAUGGGCUUUCAAGGCCCAAGAGGUUUAUGUUUUCUUCUGACCAUAAGCCUAAUAAAAUUUUAAAGGUGCACAAAGUCUCAUCACUUUAGAUAUUUAAAACUAGCUUGAAAAAAUCUCUUGGGAAACAUAUAUUGUGGUGGAUAGCCCCACUGAGAAAGCAGGGGAUAGACAAAAAAAAUACCCGGAGCGCAAACCCAAAUAAACCCCCCAGUAUUUUUCAUGCUAGCUCUAUGAAAAUCCUGGCUGUUAAACUCCCAAGGAUAGUACAGCUCUUUUCUCCAGGACUGUGCAGAUAGAAUUUAUUGUCCAUUUGGAAUGAUCAAGUUUAGGCUAAUAAAAGGCCCUCUGUAAGCAGAAAUGCCCAAGUUGAUGUUAGGCAGAGUUUUCAAUGGUGGAGUUUAUACAGGACGGGGGCUCUGCACUAUUUGAAAUAACUCCUAUCCCAGCAGCUGAGGAUGAUCUGACACACAAGUAAACGUUAGCAAGCAGUGACUGAAGGUUAAUCAGAGCUGCUUUCUGAGCUGGGUGCUUGGAAGCAGAAAAAAGUGAAAGCUGCUUUCUCUAGCCCUUUCCUAUGCUAAGGUGCUGCUAACUUUUAUGAUUUUUUUUCCCCUUUCCUCUUUUACUAUCUGUCUUUGUGCCUGAGGGCCAGUGAAAGAACACUGCAGAUUCUAGAUUGCUUUCAGAGUUUCCCUUUGCUGAUGAUGGAUUACCAUGUCAAUUUAAACGGCAUAGGAUUAAUUUGUUUCAAUGAUUUCUCUUUAGGCUGAAUGCCAGUCUUUUUUUCUAUCUCUCUCCUUGCUCUGCAGAAAAAAUAAUAACAACAAUAAUAAUAAUAAAUCCUUAAACCCCCCAAACACUUUUGAGAUCCCAUGUUAAAAAGACAAUAAUAGAAAUAGACAAGUUAGGUGUAAUGUUGCAACACAGUUGUAGGUUUGAGUGUUUUUAUCUCGUUCUAAGGGGCUGCAGCAUACAGUCAGUCACAUUAAAAUGAAAUUGGAUCCAACGUUUAUUCAAUAAAUACUUGUCUUGUAGGUAAUCCAGAACAGAGUGCUUUUGACACAUAAGGACUUAAUUUGUCUUGGAUAACAAGUUAUUAAUAUGGCACAUUUAAACUUGCCACCUACAAUAAGGUCAUUUAGAUCUAUAAUACGACUCACGAGAGAACUUCAUAAAGCCAGAAACAAAGUUUGAAACUGCCUCUGAGGCGCGGAGCAGACGCACGGCUCACGGUUUGCUCUUUUCAGAAGAAAGUUCAGAGCAAGUAGGAGCCACCCAAACCCAAAUGGUGUGCAUCUGCUCCUCUUUGAAAGGCAAACGUAAAUGGAGCAAGGAGGGGAGAAAAAAAAAAAAGGAACCCAAACACACAUUUUUGAAUGAGUAAGCUUUAAAGCUGUGCUGCGUCUGCUCGCAAACUCAUCGCAGCUUUGAAAGUGAAAAAACAACAUUUGGUUCAGAGUGGAAAUUCGCCUGCAUUUGCACCCUACCUCUUCCAUGUGCUUCACAAUUUACUCGCUUUUAAUAAUAAGUGAGGAAGUUGGAACAUAAUCCAGCCAUAAAUGUUAUUGCUGUAAUUUGACUGCUCUGUGUUUGUUCAUGCAUUAGUUGUAUAUGUAAAACGAAGUGUGGAUGGAUGGUGGGGAUCCCUGUGCAGCAUGAGCAGACAGAGGUGUUGGGGAUUUUAACACCCAAACACCCUGCAGUUGUUUUCAGUUUUGGGGUGUUUAGUUUCAGAGCUGUCCUAACCCAGUGGUGCCUGUAAGAGGUGCAUCAGGAGGGGAAUGUUGUGGGCAUGCCGCUCAGGACGCGUUUGGUGACUGGCAAUUCGGUCUCCACACCGUCUCCCUGAGCUUUGUUAUUCUGCUUUUCUCUACUAAGCUCUUGGUUGCUCUUGCCCUGGCAGAUUCUGUCUCUUUAAGUAACUAAAUCUCAUUUUUAAGCUAUUCCUGGGAAAAGGAUGUUACACAUGAGUAGAAAAAUGCAGGCAAGAAAGGCUAAUUGAAUGAAAAGAGAGAAUUAGGUUAAAAAUAGAGUACAAUCUAGUAUCACAUUUUCACUAGUGUAACCUGAAAUGAAGGUGUCUCCAAGUCCCCAGUGAUGCCAGAGUGUUUAGAUGUUGGGCACAGAUGGAGACACCUAUUGAAAUGUGUCUGAAGAAGAUUAAUAGGACUUGUCAGUGUUGGGAAAGCACUGCUUUGCUGUAAAUUUCUACUAGCACAAGAUGAAUUACCGAUGAAUGCUCAGUUAUCAACCCCAUCACUAUCAUUGGACACUAAAUCAAAUUGAGCAGUUAUCUACAAUCAGAAAAUUUCUUUUAAAAGUAGGCAUACACCUUUAGGCUUAAACUCUUUAAUAAGACAAUAUCCUCGAUGGUGUGUGUGUGUUCACGAAGGGAUAUGAUUUAAAGUUUCUAUACAAAAACCCUCUGUUCAGAAUUUAACUCCAAGUUCAGUGUGAAACCUGGGUUGUCAAACAAUAGAAGAUAGUCAGAAAAUGCUGGUUAUAUAAUACAGAGUUCUGCUGGGGGUCUGAUCCAAAAUAUCAUUAGAUUUUGGUUCCAUCCCUAUUUACGAGGGUUUUUUCCAAUCUCUGCCCUCUCCUUAUUUAUG